RNAcentral lists this ribosomal RNA (521 nucleotides) under uncultured bacterium. RNAcentral's name for it is "bacterial SSU rRNA". It matches the Rfam family "Bacterial small subunit ribosomal RNA", at positions 903 to 1397 of the family's 1533-position model. The record is from RNAcentral.
AAAGGAAUAGACGGGGACUUGCACAAGCAGUGGAUUAUGUGGUUUAAUUCGAUGGUAAACGAAGCACCUCACCAAGACUUGAAACCUACACGACAGCCCUAGAAACAGGGUCUUCCGCAAGGACGGGUAGGCAGGUGUUGCAUGGCCGUCGUCAGUUCGUGGUUUGAAUUGUUCCCUUAAGUGGGGUAACGAACGCAACCCUCGUCGUGUGUUACAAGUGUCACACGAGACUGCCCCGAACAAAGGACGUAAUUAUCAAGUUGAUAAUUGUUUCUUUCGUUCGGGGAGGAAGGAGAGGAUGACGCCAGGUCAGCAUGACCCUCUGAUGUCUUGGGCUACACACAUAAUACAAUCGCUACUACAACGGGUCGCGACGGGGUAACCCUGAGCCAAUCCUUAUAAAGGUAGCGCCAGUUCGGAUUGAGGUCUGCAACUCGACCUCAUGAAGCCGGAAUUGCUAGUAAUCGCAGGUCAGACAUACUGCGGUGAAUACGUUCUCAAGUCUUGUACACACCGCCCGU